Non-coding RNA from Cucurbita pepo subsp. pepo (vegetable marrow), 3404 nucleotides. The record is from RefSeq and is a predicted model, not a curated record. NCBI's taxonomy places the organism in Eukaryota, Viridiplantae, Streptophyta, Magnoliopsida, Cucurbitales, Cucurbitaceae.
ACAUUCGUUAACCCACGGUUAUAGAUCUUUUAUUAAUUUGGUCGCGAUCAUAUUCUAGGGUUUUACGUAUUUAAUCCGCAGCAAUCUUGUAGCCGCCGAUUCCAUUGUUUUCUACUUCUUUGCUGUUCUAGUUGUUUCUCUUGUAGCCGCAGAUUUAUAUCUGCACAUUUUUGCGCGUAAUUUCGACAUCGGGGUUCUACAUUCGAAUGUUUCUACAAUAAUCAAACAUUGCGCGAUCCUCGCGAGUGCUAGAUCGCUUUCGGUAGCCGAUGGGAUUCCAUCGGCAGCGGCGGUGGAGGUUUCGAUCGCCGUCGAACGAGCUGGUCACGGGAUCGGUAUAUUUGUGUUGCUGCGGUUGAAUCUUCACGCUCCGUCGGACUUAGCUGUCUCAAAGUGAGUUCAAAUGGGCUGAAAGGAGUAAAGGACGUGGAGCUGACCUAUCUGAUAAACCGUUAGGGAAAGUCCCCUAAAGGUCUAGAAAGUAGAAGGUCAAGGGUCACUCUGCAAGUUCUCUCCGGUCUGUAAGAUCCACAUCGGUAUUCAUUGUAAAGGUACGAAAACCUUUCCCUAAUAGACGCAUUUUAAAAUCGUGAGACCGACGACAAUAAGUAAUGGGUCAUAGCGGACAAUAUAUAUCAGCGUGCUUGAGCUGUUACAAAUGGUAUGAAAGAUAGGCACCGGGUGAUGUGCCAUGAGGACAUUGGCCUACAAGGAGGUGGAUCGUGAGAUCUCACUUCAUUUAGAGAGGGGAACGAAGCGUUCUAGGGUGUGGAAACCUCUCCCUAACCCUUUUUAAAAUCUAACAAGCGUGUGGCUUGACGGUGAUAUUUAAAAAUUAAAAGGUACUCGGUAGAUAAUGGUAUUAGGCAAUACAUUUCAAAUGUCCAAUUGAGUAGAUACAAUAGUUCAUCAGUGAUUUUCUGUUCUUCUUUUUUUAUUAGUUAACAAUGAUUGCUGAUCUUUGACAUUGACAGUGAAUUUUAUCCUUAAUUCGUAAAUUCAAGUUGCAUUCCAAGUAAUGCUACAAUUCUAUAACUGACUUCACACAUGAACAUAUAUGUCUCCCCUUCGCCUUGCUUGGUGGGCCUCGGGGAGUUAUGUAUUAGCAAUGCUCACAUGAAUGUCAUUUGGAGUUUGUCAGGCUUCUUGUGCUUCUUUUAAGGUGCUUCGAGUUUGGAAUAUUCUCCAACAUUAGUGCUGAGGCUGUUGUUCUACUACUAUAUGAAUCACUAUACUAUUCGUAAUUAGUAAAUAUGCCCAUUCUUGUUUUAUACUUAUUGAUCACAAUUUUCUUUCAUAAUUAUUUGUUCUUAAUUGGAGUCCCUGUCUUUAAGAUUGCUUCCAUUUUUUUGUUGGCUUUGGGCCAUAGAUCCUUUGCGGUCUAUUGUUUUAUGUAAAAUGGUAUGUAUUCCCAGAAUCUUGUCAUCUGGUUAAUGAGUAGAAUCCUUCUUCUUUUUAUGGGAGAAAUAGGCUUUGGUUUGAGUUAUAAAUGAGUUUGGAGUUUGAGAACCACUGUGUAUUAGGCCAAUAAGAUACAUAGAACCACUGUGCCCUUGGAGGAUAAUUGGGCUUUUUUUUUUUUUUUAAGAUAGUAAUUUGUCUUAAAAAUACUCCUAAAUCUUUUAAAAGUUUCAAUAAUGCACCUAAAUAUCUUUACUCUUGGAUGGAAACGGUUGGUAUUUUGUUUCAAAAAUACUCAUGAACUUUUAAUGGUGUUUUAAACAUUCAUUAAUACCUACUUUUUUUAAAAAAAAGUUCAACAAUAUACUUGUCGUUAGUACUAUGUUUAAAAAAUACUAAAAUACUAACGAUAGAAGUAUAUUUUAACUUUUUAAAAAAGUGUAAGAGUAUAAUGAAACUUUUUAAAACUUAAAAGUAUUUUGAAACCCUUUUGAAAGUUCAAGGGUAUUUUUGAAACAAAGUAUUAACGGUUUUCCUCUAAAACUAUCCGUAAGGUUAACUUUGAACUUUUUUGAAAGUUCAAAGGUAUUAUUAAGACUUUUUCUCGAAAGUUUGGGGUAUUUUUGAGAUAAAUUAUUAAGUUUGAUAGUAUUUUUAUGAAUUUAGCCUUUUUAGAGGAAGAGGUGCACAAGUCGAAAUGGGAUGUCGAAUUAGUGCUUUUCCCAUGACCAUGAAUCCAAAUAGUGUGAAUGUUGAAUGACCAUUUGUAAAUGUUCAAUGGAUCUUUCACUCCACACCUUAGUUCUUCAUCAAGGGAAUAUGCACAAGUCGAAAUGGGAUGUCGAAUUAGUGCUUUUCCCAUGAACACGAAUCCAAAUAGUGUGAAUGUUCAAUGACCAUUUGUAAAUGUUCAAUGGACCUUUCACUCUACACCUUGGUUCUUCAUCAAGGGAAUAUGCACAAGUCGAAAUGGGACGUCGAAUCAGUGCUUUUUCCAUGAACAUGAAUCCAAAUAGUGUGAAUGUUAAUGACCGUUUGUAAAUGCUCAAUGGACCUUUCACUCCACACCUUGGUUCUUCGUCAAGGGAAUAUGCAGUUUACUAGGGAAUAUGCAGUUUUGUUAGUAAAGAUUAGAAUUCUGAUCUGAAUACCUUCUGUGGCAUUUGACAUUUAGUUUGGCUGUUGAAAACGUUGGCCUCGCACUACUGAAAGUAGUAGUAGUGGAAGGCUGAGUAAUAGAUAAGGGGUGUCCCAAAUUCUGAAAGAAACUCCCUCUCUGUUGUUUUUGUCUAACAUUAUUAUUGGGUUGGUGGUAUCUUGUUUGUGCAAUGCAUUUAUUUAUAUAUGUUGUAUUACAAAGUGGGUUGCGUGUUGUUACAUACCUUUAUUUGCUUUUCUUCACUCAUUAUCCUCUCCAUUUACUCAUUUUAUAUUACUUCUGAUGCUAACACAUUGGUUUCGUGUAGGGGUCGGUUUCCCUCUUCAAGAAACAACACGUCUAAUAAUAAGAGGUUUUUUUUUCUCUUCUUCAAUAUUAUGAAUAAACCACGAGGGACUUAGGACUUAAAUAUUUUAACAAGUUUGUACGUUAGUAGAUAGGUUUGAGUUAAAAUAUUUGAGUUUACUACACAAAAGAGAUACCCGUUGAGAAUUCGAGUCAUAAAAACAAAUAUGUAUAUUGCUAAAUUUGUUUAUUGUUUUUUUUUUUUUUUUUUUUUUGUAGUUCAAAUUAGUCUUUAGGAUCGAAUAUGAUAUCUAAAUGUUUAGCUUUGCCUCUAUAACUCAAGAUUAUCACAAAGUAACGUCACAUUGCAUUUGACCAUCUUAGUUCUCAACAACACGAUCUCUCGUGCUUCUACACUUAUUGGGAACUUUAUUGUGUUGAGCUUGGACCUUUCGUUAGGUUAAAACAAGGUUAUUGUACUUUAUCUAUUAGGUGAUUCAGACACUUAUUUAGAUCUAUCGAAACAUAAUAAUUCAUAUCAGACUUUGACUUUAGCGGC